RNAcentral lists this long non-coding RNA (992 nucleotides) under Salmo salar (Atlantic salmon). Its description in RNAcentral is "lncRNA (ENSSSAG00000081980.1)". Lineage: Eukaryota; Metazoa; Chordata; Actinopteri; Salmoniformes; Salmonidae. The record is from RNAcentral.
UUUUUUUGAGCAGUGUACAUUUGAAUUGAUUGCACAGAAUUCUGAAUCUCAAGCUCAAGAGGCAACCUCAGCCUUGAAAAUGCUGAUUCGCCUCAGCCACAACCUGUGGAGAUGGAUGACACUGAGGACAACGUGGGUUCCCCGAGCCAUGACCCUGUGCUUCAGAUGCCUGAACAUCAGUCAAGACCAACCACUACAGACACGGCUCAAGACUGGCAUCCAAGAAAAAGAAAACAGAAGGUCAACCAUCAAGAUGUGGAUGAAGAGCUGCUUGCAUUUGUCAGGAAGCCAAUCCCUUCUGCUGCUACCUCAGAUGAUGUGGAUGAGGUAUUUGUGCACAGCCUUGUGUCAGGAAGAAACAAGGGCACUCUGAAAAUGCAACUACUAUCAUUGAUUGUAAACUAGGAUGACCAGCAUGCAACACCUCUGCCACCACUUCCACCACCACAAUGGCUCUUUGAUGCUCUGCAUGGAAGAGUUGGACUGCAGCCUAUGAUGUACGGCCAGCCCAGGCAUCAAUACUCCUACUCACCAGGAUCUAUCUAACACAUAACUAGGAUGACCAGCAGGCAACACCACUGCCACCACCACGGCCUGCAAGUACUCCGCACGGAAAAGGUGGACUGCAGCCAAUCAUGUACGAUGAGCCCAGUGAUCAAUACUCACCAGAACUUAGGUCUCCAACACAUAGCUGGGAUGACAGCUUCAGUACAUUUUCUUAAGAGAGCUGGGUCCAAGAAUCCCAGUCACAUUGAUAAUCCCCUCCUAAAAAGACACAUCCCAUGUUCUGUUUUAGAGUUUUAAAAAGGGAAAGGUUUAUGUAUGCACUAUUUGCACUUCUUUGUUGUUGCAGUUAUAUUUGCAUUGCACCUUGUAUUUAACAUUUUUUUAAUCAUUUUUUGCUAUUCAGUGAAUAUUGUAAUUGGGAAGGAUAUGCCAUUUUUUGUUUACAUGCCUUGCUGUGGCUGUUCAUCUCACCUACAACAGGUGCA